AACGUAGGAGACGAGCGUUAUCCGGAUUUACUGGGCGUAAAGCGCGUGUAGGAGGCAGUACAAGUUGGAUGUUAAAUAUCCCGGCUUAACCGGGAGGGGUCGUUCAAAACUGUACAGCUAGAGUACGGGAGAGGUAAUCGGAACUCCGGGAGUAGCGGUGAAAUGCGUAGAUAUCCGGAAGAACACCAGAGGCGAAAGCGGAUUACUGGCCCGAAACUGACACUAAGACGCGAAAGCCAGGGUAGCAAAC
RNAcentral lists this ribosomal RNA (250 nucleotides) under uncultured prokaryote. RNAcentral describes it as "partial 16S ribosomal RNA". It matches the Rfam family "Bacterial small subunit ribosomal RNA", at positions 524 to 773 of the family's 1533-position model. The record is from RNAcentral.